RNAcentral lists this transfer RNA (87 nucleotides) under Candidatus Dormiibacterota bacterium. Its description in RNAcentral is "tRNA-Leu". It matches the Rfam family "tRNA". From Rfam's summary of the family: Transfer RNA (tRNA) molecules are approximately 80 nucleotides in length. Their secondary structure includes four short double-helical elements and three loops (D, anti-codon, and T loops). The record is from RNAcentral. Lineage: Bacteria; Bacillati; Candidatus Dormiibacterota. RNAcentral also lists the same sequence under 1 other name.
GCCGAGGUGGCGAAAUAGGUAGACGCGCCAGCUUGAGGGGCUGGUGGCCGCAAGGCCGUAUGGGUUCAAGUCCCUUCCUCGGCACCA